CAAGCGGUUCCCAAACUGUGCCGGGGCGUCGCAAAAUGUUUCCCCGGUGCUAUGAUCAUAGCACCGGGAAAUAUUACUUCUCAACAGGUGCACGGCCGGGCCCCUGUGGUGUCGGCAGGCUAGGAGGAAGUGACAGUGUCACUUCCAACCAGUUUUGUGCAGGGAGACCGUGCCUGAGAUAGAGGACCAUUCAGAGCUGCUCCAGAUCCCUCAUUCCCACCACUAGCAGCAGGAACAGGACUCCAAGCUACCAUCCUGGACACCGAAGGUAACGCAAUAUUCAUACAUGAUACACAUUAAAUUACGGCGCACACAUAAAAAUACACUAAUACUCUUAUCAGGCUACUUAAUUUGCCUAUCUAAGAAGACAAAAUACGGUGAUUCAGUUCCACCAUAUGGCCUUAAUGUGUUCAGCACACCACUACUUCAUAGUACCCCAAUAUCUGUGGGUCUUACACUAAAUCCAAAUUUGGGAUACAUAGUGCUUAACAUAAUUUGUUUCAUGUCCGUGUGUAUUUGUGUGUAUAUGUCAAUGUAUGCGUG
Molecule: non-coding RNA, 543 nt
Organism: Pelobates cultripes (western spadefoot toad)
Lineage: Eukaryota; Metazoa; Chordata; Amphibia; Anura; Pelobatidae
Source: the annotation of a GenBank genome assembly